Molecule: long non-coding RNA, 301 nt
Filed under: Medicago truncatula (barrel medic)
Lineage: Eukaryota; Viridiplantae; Streptophyta; Magnoliopsida; Fabales; Fabaceae
Description: long non-coding RNA (MTRU_LNC001002)
Source: RNAcentral
GUGUGUAUAAAUCAAUCAGCAAUGCCACCUCAUCAGAUUAGUGACGUGGCAGUGAUUAACUGGGGAGAGAGAUGAAAUUUUAAAUGAUUAAAUUUUGGCAGGUAAAAUACUUGAAUUAAGGAAUACAUGGACCAAAUUUUUAAUGACCCUUAAUUGCACGGACUAAACAAAUAUAAAAUCCUUAUAAGAAUCAAAAACUUAUCUAACCUAUAAAUACUUUUUUUUUUUACAGCUAGUCAAAUAAGUUAAAAGAUACUUACCUUAGAUAUGAAUGAAAUCUUUCAACAAAUAUACAUACCAG